RNAcentral lists this ribosomal RNA (483 nucleotides) under uncultured bacterium. RNAcentral describes it as "partial 16S ribosomal RNA". It matches the Rfam family "Bacterial small subunit ribosomal RNA", at positions 30 to 506 of the family's 1533-position model. The record is from RNAcentral.
AUUGAACGCUGGCGGCAGGCCUAACACAUGCAAGUCGAGCGGAUGAAGGGAGCUUGCUCCUGGAUUCAGCGGCGGACGGGUGAGUAAUGCCUAGGAAUCUGCCUGGUAGUGGGGGAUAACGUCCGGAAACGGGCGCUAAUACCGCAUACGUCCUGAGGGAGAAAGUGGGGGAUCUUCGGACCUCACGCUAUCAGAUGAGCCUAGGUCGGAUUAGCUAGUUGGUGGGGUAAAGGCCUACCAAGGCGACGAUCCGUAACUGGUCUGAGAGGAUGAUCAGUCACCGGGGACAUGAGACGCGGCCCAGCCCCCUAGGGGAGGCAGCGGGGGGAAAUUUGGAACAAGGGGCGAAAGCCUGACCCAGCCAGGCCGUGUGUGGAAAGAAGGUCUUCGGUUUGUAAAGCUUUUUAAGGGGGGGGAAAGGGAAGUAAGUUAACACCUUGUUGUUUUGACGUUACCAACAGAAAAAGCACCGGCUACUUUCGU